This 424-nucleotide ribosomal RNA is filed under the name Verrucomicrobiota bacterium. Its description in RNAcentral is "Verrucomicrobia bacterium partial 16S ribosomal RNA". It matches the Rfam family "Bacterial small subunit ribosomal RNA", at positions 355 to 776 of the family's 1533-position model. Lineage: Bacteria; Pseudomonadati; Verrucomicrobiota. The record is from RNAcentral.
UGAGGAAUAUUGGUCAAUGGACGCAAGUCUGAACCAGCCAAGUAGCGUGCAGGCUGACGGCCCUAUGGGUUGUAAACUGCUUUUAUAUGGGGAUAAAGUGGGGAACGUGUUCCCUUUUGCAGGUACCAUAUGAAUAAGGACCGGCUAAUUCCGUGCCAGCAGCCGCGGUAAUACGGAAGGUUCGGGCGUUAUCCGGAUUUAUUGGGUUUAAAGGGAGCGUAGGCCGUUUGGUAAGCGUGUUGUGAAAUGUAGGAGCUCAACUUCUAGAUUGCAGCGCGAACUGUCAGACUUGAGUGCGCACAACGUAGGCGGAAUUCAUGGUGUAGCGGUGAAAUGCUUAGAUAUCAUGAAGAACUCCGAUUGCGAAGGCAGCUUACGGGAGCGCAACUGAUGCUGAAGCUCGAAGGUGCGGGUAUCGAACAGG